Molecule: transfer RNA, 73 nt
Organism: Felis catus (domestic cat)
Lineage: Eukaryota; Metazoa; Chordata; Mammalia; Carnivora; Felidae
Rfam family: tRNA
About the family: Transfer RNA (tRNA) molecules are approximately 80 nucleotides in length. Their secondary structure includes four short double-helical elements and three loops (D, anti-codon, and T loops).
Source: Rfam
GCCUGGCUGGCUCAGUUGGAGGAGCGUGUGACUCUUGAUCUCAACGUGGUGGAUUCGAGCCCCACGUUGGGUG